Molecule: long non-coding RNA, 1986 nt
Organism: Alexandromys fortis (reed vole)
Lineage: Eukaryota; Metazoa; Chordata; Mammalia; Rodentia; Cricetidae
Exons: 4
Source: RefSeq, a predicted model, not a curated record
AAAAGUCAGUUGAUGACUGACCCUGAGAAGCUAACUUCUCAAGUAAUGGAGCAUUUCCAAUGGACUUCAAGAUUUUCUGCAUUACACAUGCUCUUGAAUGUGCACCAUUGUUUUUGUUGUUGUUGUUGUUUGUUUGUUUGUUUCAUUUGUUUUAGGUUUUUUUCUGGGAGUAUAGGGGAGGUUCUUGAAGCUUUGAUUGUAAGUCUAGCCUUUAAUGUCUGAGCCAUCUCUCUAGAUCAUAUGUAGCUUUCCUUAACCCAAGUUCAUCCAAAUGUGCAGUGACCUUCCAACCUGCACAUCCAUAUGCAGUGGUCUACAUGUCUGUGCCUGGUAUGUUCUUAAGCUACCACAAACACCUUGAGGGGUAGAAUAUUGAUCUGGGAGGACUGUAGGUCCAAAAGCACGAUGGUCUUAGAGUCAAAGUGUCUGUGAUGCUUGUGAUCUGGCCCAAAAUGAAGGUAAUGCAGAGCGAUGAACUCAUUGUCUACUACACAGUUCUAAAAUUUAGUUCUAUCUGUGUCAAAUCCUGACUCAGACUCUUGUCCUUGGCUUAUAGUGGUACUGGAAGUGGUACUGAAUACUGUCAGAGACUUGUAUUGGGACCUUGGGAUUCAUAUUUUUUAGUAGAACCAUCUCGGUCAAAUUACUUACCCUCUUGGAGCUUCAUAUUCCACAACUAUAAUAUAAUCAUGUUUACCACACAGACUUGAGGUAAUGAUUUAAUUGAACAAACAGAAAAAAAAAACACUAAGUAAGAAUUCCAUAACCUAUAAUAAUACACAAAACUUGCUGGCUAUUAUGCUUAGGAAAGCCACGGCAUCUCUCUUGAAUCUUGCAGUUUAAGGGGAUGAAGAUAUUUACUGUCAGAUGUUUGACAGAACUGAGUCAUUGUAAACAGAGGAAUUCUAGCAAUACUUUCAAAAAUAACUACAAUUGGUUUUAUUAUUCCAAUUCUUCACAUAACUAAAAGAAAGCUGGGAGAGGUUUGGCACAAGUCACGUGGCUGACGGUGUGAAGAUGCAACUGUAGCCACAAACAUGGCCUCACAUUAAAAGCUGUGUGCUCAUUUUCCCUAAUAUGAUCCUCCAUGGUCAAGCUGGGCAUUUGGGAAUGUAUUUCAACAAAAUUCAUCUUUGUUUCCUCAUUCUACAUUAACUGUCUUUUAUAUAUCUCAUGUGAUUAGGCUUCAAGGUUGCAAAUUAGAUAGCAGUCCCUGCAAAGGUUUGUGAAGUAGCACAUUUCUGCCUCUAGAGAACUCAUUUGAAGAACUCAUUUCUAGCAAGAAAGCACAGCUAACUAUUCAUGUACUCAUGAUUGAAAACUGGUCCUUAUCCUUCAGGGAAGGUCAUUUUCUUUGAUAGUGGUAAGCUGUGUUUUCUAGUGAGUCUUUGUUACCUUCCAUGGUUCCUACGAUAUAAAAGAAAUGGUGGUCAUGGGUCAGCCACAAGAACAGUAGCAGUGGAGUGAAGGCAACUAGAGUCUAGAAGCCCUGUAUGCCGCAAAGGGCAGAGCCAGAGAAGUGAACCAAGUCCUUUGGAGGAGCCCAGAAGAUGACUAGUGCCAAGAGUCAGGCUUCUCCAUGCCAGGUUUGCUGCAAAGAUAUUGAGUCUACUACCAUAACCCCAGCAGCCUGGAUGGGCAAUUUAAUAAAAGGCAAGAUCUAAAUUCUAAUAGGAUUGCUUUCCCUCUCUACUUCACUGAUCCAUCUAUCCCUGAGAAAACAUUGGGCACUGAAGACACUACACUUGAAGCUGUUUUCUUCUUGAUAAAAAUGGCCUUUGGGCAAUGAACUGUCCAUACCUCCUCAACCACUGACAAAACUGAUAAACAGGAACAAAAACCAGACUGCCAAACCUUGCCAAAACAGGGUCUGUUUGGAAUGUUUACAUAAAUAAGGCAUUCCAGCUCUAGGGAAGUAAAUAAUUUCAUUGCACAUGAAAUGGCAUGGUUGUACCAGUACUCUCUUCAUGGGAAACACAGCUCAAC